GCAUUCAGGUGACCGCUGCACGCUUGUCGUGUAGAGGAAAGUCCAUGCUCGCACGGGCUGAGAUGCUCGUAGUGUUCGUGCCUAGCCAAUUCAUAAGCUAGGGUAGUCUGGUUUUGACUGGGCUAACGGCAAGGUAAGCACCUAAGUCGAUUGAUAUGGUGUGAGGCCUUUGAAAGUGCCACAGUGACGUAGUCCGUUUGGAAACAAACGGAGUGGAACGCGGUAAACCCCUCGAGCGAGAAACCCAAAACAUGGUAGGGGCAUCUUCUUAACUGGAAAUGAACAGGUGAGAAGAACAAGGGUAUCCUUGUAGAUAGAUGGUUACCACUGGAGUACGAGGCUCAUCACCGUUUGCAGUACAAAGGUACAGAACAUGGCUUAUCGAA
RNAcentral lists this RNase P RNA (386 nucleotides) under Halalkalibacter nanhaiisediminis. RNAcentral's name for it is "Bacillus sp. NH3 Bacterial RNase P class B". It matches the Rfam family "Bacterial RNase P class B". From Rfam's summary of the family: Ribonuclease P (RNase P) is a ubiquitous endoribonuclease, found in archaea, bacteria and eukarya as well as chloroplasts and mitochondria. Its best characterised activity is the generation of mature 5'-ends of tRNAs by cleaving the 5'-leader elements of precursor-tRNAs. The record is from Rfam by way of RNAcentral. Lineage: Bacteria; Bacillati; Bacillota; Bacilli; Caryophanales; Bacillaceae.